UCCUGGCUCAGGAUGAACGCUAGCGGCAGGCCUAACACAUGCAAGUCGAGGGGUAACAGAAGUAGCAAUACUUGCUGACGACCGGCGCACGGGUGAGUAACGCGUAUGCAACCUACCUUUGACUGGAGAAUAGCCCGAAGAAAUUCGGAUUAAUGCUCCAUGAGACCACAAUACCGCAUGAUAUAGUGGUAAAAGCUCCGGCGGUCAAAGAUGGGCAUGCGUGCCAUUAGUUAGUUGGUGAGGUUACGGCUCACCAAGACAACGAUGGCUAGGGGGUCUGAGAGGAUGAUCCCCCACACUGGUACUGAGACACGGACCAGACUCCUACGGGAGGCAGCAGUGAGGAAUAUUGGUCAAUGGACGCAAGUCUGAACCAGCCAUGCCGCGUGCAGGAUGAAUGCCCUAUGGGUUGUAAACUGCUUUUCUACAAGAAGAAACUUCCUGAUGUAUCAGGAACUGACGGUAUUGUAGGAAUAAGCAUCGGCUAACUCCGUGCCAGCAGCCGCGGUAAUACGGAGGAUGCAAGCGUUAUCCGGAUUCAUUGGGUUUAAAGGGUGCGUAGGCGGGGUAGUAAGUCAGUGGUGAAAGCCUGCGGCUUAACCGUAGAAUUGCCAUUGAUACUGCUAUUCUUGAGUGCAGUUGAGGUAGGCGGAAUGUGUAAUGUAGCGGUGAAAUGCUUAGAUAUUACACAGAACACCGAUUGCGUAGGCAGCUUACUAAACUGUAACUGACGCUGAGGCACGAAAGCGUGGGGAGCGAACAGGAUUAGAUACCCUGGUAGUCCACGCUGUAAACUAUGAUCACUCGCUGUUGGCGA
Molecule: ribosomal RNA, 817 nt
Filed under: uncultured organism
Description: bacterial SSU rRNA
Rfam family: Bacterial small subunit ribosomal RNA
Source: RNAcentral